RNAcentral lists this long non-coding RNA (3892 nucleotides) under Nicotiana benthamiana. Its description in RNAcentral is "long non-coding RNA (NBEN_LNC036704)". Lineage: Eukaryota; Viridiplantae; Streptophyta; Magnoliopsida; Solanales; Solanaceae. The record is from RNAcentral.
GAAAAGAGGUGUUGUGAAGACUGGCAGUCACCUCGCUAAACUCCGAUAACUCUGCCCCUGAUCAGUCAAAACUCGCUACCGGGUGUACAAAUACCUGCAUCUGCACACGAGGUGAAGGGAGUAAAGUGAGUACUCCAACUCAGUGAGUAAUAAAGGUAAAUAACAACUCAGCCAUCAGAAAUCACAUAAAGCAGACCAACAUGUUGUAUAGAAGCACUAUAAAACCCUUUGAGAAAGAAAUAGGGAAGCUGUUAAAUCUUUAGAAACAUCUUAGCCCAGUUUAAACGUCUUUUGAAAUGAAUUUUUCAACCGUCAUGCAAAUGAAUGCAAACCAGUUAGUGCCGAUAAGCACAAAAAAUUCGUCCCUCUGGCACAAUUACUAAAGUAUAACAGGUAAAAUGACAAGUAAGUAUGAAAGAUGAACACAUAAAGGUUCGCCCUUGGGCACACUCUCAGAAUAGUAUUAACCCCUUAGGCUCACUCUCAGAAUAAAUAUCAACCCAUUGGGCUCACACUCAGAUCAUAUUGGGUACUCGCACUCACUAUGGGUGUACAGACUCCGAAAGGGGCGUAAAGAGUUUUUUCAAUUAAAGGACAAUCGAAACGGGACUUAUUUUUUAUUUAUUUAGAGUCGCCACUUGGAAAAUUAAUGGUGUCCCAAGUCACCGAUUGAAUCCCGAAUUGAGGAAAACGAUGAUUCUGUUCACAAUCCGCGAACCAGAAAUCCGGAUAAGGAAUUCUGUGAACUUGGGAGAAGGUGUUAGGCAUUCCCGAGUUUCUUGGUUCUAGCACGGUCGCUCAACUAUUGCAUUUCGUUUUAACUGAUUUCAUUACAUGAAGAACCUAUGUGCCAAUAUUUACUCUUUUACCGCUUUUAUUUAAUAUAUGUUUAUUUGAGAAAGUGAACGUCGUUUAUAGUCUGCUUUCGGAUUGCGCCGCAUCAAAUGAACUCGCAAUCCUAGGCACACUCUAUUCAACGUUUUAGGAUUUGGAUUUGAGCCGCAUAAAACGCUCACCCGUAUUCAGGAAUGUAAUUUAUUAAUGUCGCGCCUAAUAGGGUCUAACGCGUUGUAAUCUUUUGGGAGAGUCGUGAAAUUCGCUAAACGACCCUUCCCAAUUUUCUAAAUAUUUUUAAACCUUCAUUGAGGGUCCCGCAAUUUGUAUUUUUGGGCGAGGCUUGUCUCGUUUUAUUUUAAAAAAGGGUAAACCUAAAAGAUAACUGUAUUUUUACUUUUGAUUUUUGUCUCUAAUAGAAAAGAAAAUCCUUAUUGAUUAUUAGAAUUCGGAUUCCGAGUUCAAGUCCGGGCCCAAACAAAAGGAUGAACCUUUUAGUUUAAAAUUCGCUACCUAACUCAAAACCAAAUUUUAUUAAUUAACCACUUAGUGUCUCUAAAACAUGAAAAUCCUUAAUUAAUUACAAAAUUCUAAUCCAACUGAGCCAAGACCGUACCCAAGUAAGGAUGAGGCAUAACCAAACGCCGGAAAUCCUGAAGCCUACGACAAAAGGCCCAAUCUAACGAACCAAAUGGUUCUACAUGGGAGCUGUGGCAAAUGAGCCUGAGGCCAGCCCAAACGGUAAUGCUCAAGGAAAAUUAGGGGAUCGAACCCCUGGAGCUCACAAGCACACGAGUUAAUUGGUUAUCAAACCAUUUCCCACUUCAGUCAAUAUAGAUAAGAACAAUUGGAGUCACAUAACUUCUAAAAAAACCUGCAAUUAAUAUUGAACUGAGCAAACCAACCAUGUAUACAUUUUCACGUAAAAAGGAAGAAAAGACAAACCAAUCAUGUUUUACUUUAUUAACGCUUCCUACCAACAAUUAGCUAUAUCUACCAUGACUUAUCUAUCUCAACACUAAUCAAUAACUUAAACACCCACUGAUUUUAAUGUCCUGAAAUCAAAUUACUUAAGCACCACUAAUUGUAAUUAACUACUGAAAACUUCAAUCAUCUGUUCAUUUCUAAGCACAUGCAUACACUUGAUAAUUCAACUGAAUUUGUGCAGUCCAAAUCAGCAGAGCAUUAUCGCAAUCAACAACCCAAAUUAAUACAAUUUGACUACACCAAGUACAGUUCUGUUCCUCACGGAUUUACAAUCCAAUAUUACUAGAAAAUAGUCCAAUUACUCAGGACAAAAAUAGUGAACUAAUGCAAUUGUAAAUUUUAAACAGGCUUCAAAUUGAGCAGGGAUCUGUGCACAUUUCAUUUCUACUUCAAGUGUAGCUACAUGGAAACAAUUUGAGGGAGUGUACCUGAAUGUCGAAAUACAAGAAAAGUGAGAAGAGGAUAAGCUUAUAAUAACACGUUCCAGCAGUGUAAUUUGCAGUAUUAGCAUCAGGAAAUACAGCUAGUGUCCAGGAGUUAACAACAGCUACAAACUUGGACAAUUUGGACCCAAAAUGACUUCACAAAACCAAAGCAAAUCACCACAGGAAGGCCACAACCAGUAAAGGACUCCGGAACAACUCAAUUGCUACCAAAACCAAAUGAAAUUCACCCCAAAAUACUCUUGGAACCAACAGUAACCAGAAGUUGAACCAAAUAUUGUAAUCCAACAGCUAACAAUUGAAACCCAUUUAACAGCUUAAUGAAAUAGGAGAAUUUCUUUGAUUUUCUGGAUAAGAGUUUUUGGUUUUUCUUUUGAAGAAGCUAAAAUCUAAUGGAGUUUCAUAUCUGAAUUUCAAAUCAGAAAGCUUGGGGGUAUUUUUGGAAUGCCCAAAACUUGUAAAUUAAGGCACUAAAAGGUGCCUUCAAUAGGCAAAAAUAAGGGGCAACCCUCAAAUUUUUAGUUUUGCAUUACACCCUUCUCUAAUUUUCGCUUUUUGUUUAAGUAUCCCUAAAGAACUAACUUAUUUCCCAAGUUAUACCACCAAACUUAAUAGAAUUCUAAAGUGAACCCUAUCAAGAAUGAUUUUAAGAGAUUCCGUACCCUUGUAUUACCUAUCUUGCCCCUAAAUUUAAGCUAAAUAACAGCUAUAACCAAACAAUUCCCUAUGCAUUACAAAGUGCAACCCUAAUUUAAGUAACCAAUAUAAUCACUGAACUAAACUAACAACGACAAUCAAUAAAACUAACCACCAGCUAAACUAACCAAUACUGAUAAUCAAAUAUCAUUCAAACAAAUGUUAACUAACCAAAAUCAUAAUUGAAUCCUAAUACUGCAAGUCAUGGUUUAACAGAAAGGGUCGAAAUGAAUUCAAACUAUUAGCGGAACGAAUAACAACUUAACAACUAAUAACUUGAAACUAAGAUGAAUAGGAAAAUAAUGAUCAAAAUGACACAGAUACGGAGUUAAAUUGAAACGGGAUUGAAGACAACUUAAUGGCUUUCGGAUUAACACUUUUAAACAACAAAAUAACACUAAGAUAACACCAAAGGAAGAAGAGAAGGAAAAACGAAAUAGGGGAACUCACUGCUUUAAAAAUGACUCAGAACUUGAGCGGACUUGGUGAUAUUUGAACUUCGCCAAGGAUCGAUUCUUCACGAGGAGCGUAGAGCGACCGUGUAGUAUCAAUUUGGUAGUCUUCGGAGAUAUCAGGAUUUCCAGCCAACUUUGAACCAAUAUUCGAGCCAAUCGACUGAUAUUUGAGGGCAAAUGGAUGUGGAUUUGGGUUGAGGAAGGACUGGAGGUUGUGUAGUGUGAUUUUGGGCUGAUUUGGACCAAAUUUUGACUUGGCAGGAAAAUUUCAAUCGAAGAUUCGAGCAAUCUGGCUGUGAUUCGAAGGAAGCCAAUGUGAUAUUUGGAAAAAGGAUAUUGAGGAGGGUUGGUGGUGUUAUUUUUGGUGGGAACGGUUAAGGUGGCAUUUUCCACCGGCGAGAUCUCCGGCGAGUCUAGGGCUUCAUACGAGGAAGAAGAGAAGAUGUACGAGGAGGAGGACUACUGUCUCUAAAAUUU